GUAACUCAAAUUUGUGUGGAGUUGGAACGUUUGUCUACGAUUGCCCCUAGGGGCGCUGUUCCAACUGCAUACAAAUUUGAGUUA
Bombyx mori (domestic silkworm) is the source of this 84-nucleotide non-coding RNA. Lineage: Eukaryota; Metazoa; Arthropoda; Insecta; Lepidoptera; Bombycidae. The record is from Rfam.